Molecule: ribosomal RNA, 530 nt
Filed under: uncultured fungus
Lineage: Eukaryota; Fungi
Description: SSU rRNA
Rfam family: Eukaryotic small subunit ribosomal RNA
Source: RNAcentral
GUCUGGUGCCAGCAGCCGCGGUAAUUCCAGCUCCAAUAGCGUAUAUUAAAGUUGUUGCAGUUAAAAAGCUCGUAGUUGAACUUCGGGGUUUACCCAUUGGUCAGGCUUAAUUGUCUGUACUGGUGAGAUGAAUCUCUACCUUCUGAGGAACUUUCAUGCCAUUUAUUUGGUGUGAUGGGAAAUCAGGACUGUUACUUUGAAAAAAUUAGAGUGUUUAAAGCAGGCUAACGUCUGAAUACAUUAGCAUGGAAUAAUGAAAUAGGACGGACUGAUUCUAUUUCGUUGGUUUCUAGGAUCACCGUAAUGAUUAAUAGGGAUAGUUGGGGGCAUUAGUAUUCAAUUGUCAGAGGUGAAAUUCUUGGAUUUAUUGAAGACUAACUACUGCGAAAGCAUUUGCCAAGGAUGUUUUCAUUAAUCAAGAACGAAAGUUAGGGGAUCGAAGACGAUCAGAUACCGUCGUAGUCUUAACCAUAAACUAUGCCGACUAGGGAUCGGACGAAGUUAAUUUUAUAAUGACGCGUUCGGCGCCU